Molecule: long non-coding RNA, 675 nt
Organism: Odontomachus brunneus
Lineage: Eukaryota; Metazoa; Arthropoda; Insecta; Hymenoptera; Formicidae
Exons: 3
Source: RefSeq, a predicted model, not a curated record
CAAAUGGAGCGCGAGAGCGUGCGUUAACAUGUGUGAACGAAAUGGAAACAAUUUCGUAGCUCGCGUCCGUCGCAGUCUACUCUUUUUUUCCUCUUUUUUUUUCCAGAGGUGCUCACGGGCUUACGAGUGCGCAUUGUUACGUUGUUAAUAUCAGGCGACCAGCUGGCGGAAAAGCGCAAUUUUUGUUCGGCGGCUAGCCACGUUUAAUGGAAACGCCGCUGAAUUUUUUUUCGUCAAACCUUUAACGACAAACAAUUGCACCGUCACCUGUCAAACACAUGCCAUGUGCGUCGCUGCGAGAGCGUGAACAAUCAAGCCGCUAUUAGGAGAGACCGGGACUACAUGGCUCUAAGGAUACAAUUUUUAUUCAUAAAACGAUUGAAACAGAGCAUAUGGACAGACGAGAUAAAGUUGGCUCACAAUUGAAGGUGGGCAAGAGGACUGUGGAGACCUCUCGCUGAAACUCGAACUACUUAUCAGGAUACAUAUUUUAUACUUAGCCUUCUUUAAUCCUGAAUUUAACUCUUUCAUGGACAGUGGGACAUACAUGUCCCAUUUACGAAAAAAAAUCAUAACUUUAAAACAAAUAGUUCUAUCGAUUUCUACCUUACCUUAUUUGAAUGAAGAAGGUUCAGCCUGCGUGUAAAAAAUUAGUGUACUCUUAAAUUUAAUGCU